GCGUUCGUGGUGUAACGGUAGCACACUCGGCUCGUAUUCGAGAGGUCCAGUUUCGAGUUCCGGAGAGUGCA
RNAcentral lists this transfer RNA (71 nucleotides) under Stegodyphus mimosarum. It matches the Rfam family "tRNA". Rfam says of the family: Transfer RNA (tRNA) molecules are approximately 80 nucleotides in length. Their secondary structure includes four short double-helical elements and three loops (D, anti-codon, and T loops). Further hydrogen bonds mediate the characteristic L-shaped molecular structure. tRNAs have two regions of fundamental functional importance: the anti-codon, which is responsible for specific mRNA codon recognition, and the 3' end, to which the tRNAs corresponding amino acid is attached (by aminoacyl-tRNA synthetases). tRNAs cope with the degeneracy of the genetic code in two manners: having more than one tRNA (with a specific anti-codon) for a particular amino acid; and 'wobble' base-pairing, i.e. permitting non-standard base-pairing at the 3rd anti-codon position. Lineage: Eukaryota; Metazoa; Arthropoda; Arachnida; Araneae; Eresidae. The record is from Rfam by way of RNAcentral.